AAAACAAACAAACAAAAAACUAGGUCUAUACAUUAGAGAACUUCCAGCAGUUUCUCAAUGUGUCACUUGCAAUGUGAUCUGUCAGGUUGCUAGUGAGAUGGGUCAGAAUGAACCCAGCCAGGGAGGCCAACAUGGAGUUAAUAACACUGUCAGUGAGGCUGCCUUUGAGGGACAGGUUGGACAAGCUGCACACCCUGCAUCCAAAGAGGCACAGUGUCCACGACACUGCCCAUGUUCAAAAUCUGGCUCCCAUAUGCAGGAUCUAAGGACAGCUGCUCCAGGUUUG
This 286-nucleotide long non-coding RNA is filed under the name Mus musculus (house mouse). RNAcentral's name for it is "long non-coding RNA chr5:107844389-107844675". Lineage: Eukaryota; Metazoa; Chordata; Mammalia; Rodentia; Muridae. The record is from RNAcentral.